RNAcentral lists this ribosomal RNA (910 nucleotides) under uncultured bacterium. Its description in RNAcentral is "bacterial SSU rRNA". It matches the Rfam family "Bacterial small subunit ribosomal RNA", at positions 8 to 916 of the family's 1533-position model. The record is from RNAcentral.
AGAGUUUGAUCACUGGCUCAGGACGAACGCUGGCGGCGUGCCUAACACAUGCAAGUCGAACGAGAAUCAACUUAUGAAGUUUUCGGAUGGAAUGAGUUGAGGAAAGUGGCGAACGGGUGAGUAACGCGUGAGCAAUCUACCUUGUACUGGGGGAUAACGUCGGGAAACCGGCGCUAAUACCGCAUAAUACUAUAAGUACGCAUGUACUGAUAGUCAAAACUCCGGUGGUACAAGAUGAGCUCGCGUCCAAUUAGCUGGUUGGUGGGGUAAUGGCUCACCAAGGCGACGAUUGGUAGCCGAACUGAGAGGGUGACCGGCCACACUGGGACUGAGACACGGCCCAGACUCCUACGGGAGGCAGCAGUGGGGAAUAUUGCGCAAUGGGGGGAACCCUGACGCAGCGACGCCGCGUGAGCGACGAAGGCCUUCGGGUCGUAAAGCUCCGUUCUUGGGGACGAAGGAAAUGACGGUACCCAAGGAGAAAGCCCCGGCUAACUACGUGCCAGCAGCCGCGGUAAUACGUAGGGGGCGAGCGUUGUCCGGAAUUACUGGGCGUAAAGGGCGUGUAGGCGGCCGCGCAAGUCAAGUGUGAAACGCCACGGCUUAACCGAGGCAUUGCACAUGAAACUGCGUGGCUUGAGUGCAGGAGAGGGAAGUGGAAUUCCUAGUGUAGCGGUGAAAUGCGUAGAUAUUAGGAGGAACACCAGUGGCGAAGGCGACUUUCUGGACUGUAACUGACGCUGAGGCGCGAAAGCGUGGGUAGCAAACAGGAUUAGAUACCCUGGUAGUCCACGCUGUAAACGAUGGGUACUAGGUGUGGGUAGUUCACUCUAUCCGUGCCGCAGCAAACGCAAUAAGUACCCCGCCUGGGGAGUACGGCCGCAAGGUUGAAACUCAAAUGAAUUGACGG